This 488-nucleotide ribosomal RNA is filed under the name uncultured bacterium. RNAcentral's name for it is "bacterial SSU rRNA". It matches the Rfam family "Bacterial small subunit ribosomal RNA", at positions 26 to 518 of the family's 1533-position model. The record is from RNAcentral.
UCGCGCUAGGACGAACGCUGGCGGCGUGCCUAACACAUGCAAGUCGAGCGGAGAUUAUAGCAAUAUAAUCUUAGCGGCGGACGGGUGAGUAACGCGUGAGCAACCUGCCUUUCACAGGGGGAUAACACAGGGAAACUUGUGCUAAUACCGCAUAAGAUCAUAGGAGGACAGUCCUCCAGUGACCAAAGGAGCAAUCCGGUGAGAGAUGGGCCCGCGUCCAAGUUUAGCUAGUUGGUGGUGUAACGGACCACCAAGGCGACGAUUGGUAGCCGAACUGAGAGGUUGAUCGGCCACAUUGGGACUGAGAUACGGCCCAGACUCCUACGGGAGGCAGCAGUGGGGAAUAUUGCGCAAUGGGGGGAACCCUGAACCGCAGCAACGCCGCGUGAAGGAUGAAGGUUUUCGGAUCGUAAACUUCUUUGAUGAGGGACGAAAGAAAUGACGGUACCUCAAAAACAAGCCACGGCUAACUACGUGCCAGCAGCGGC